UGUCACAAGAUUGGGACGGGAGAAAAAAAUGAAAUUAACCUAUUCUGUCAGCUGCUAUAUAAGUAAAAUUAAAAGGUGUAUGAGCCACUCAUGUUAGUGUGACGCCUUAUGAUGGGUGUUAAUUUCGCGGGUGGUUUCAGCGUGGUGAACCUGGUCCUGAUUUUACAGGUCACUGGAAUUUCCGGCUACACGUAUGGGUCAGAAAGAAGUUCAUUCUCGCGAGACGCACAGCUUCUAGAUUUUGAUUCCGUGGCUCAAAAAGUUUCUCAUGUCAUUUGGAAGGAUGCUGCGGCCUGCCCUAUUUCAGCGGCUUUCGCUCAAAUCAGCCGUCUAAAUAACAGAGAAUCAGUUGAAAAUGCCUUGAGGAAAGCUCUGAGUACUGACCCAUCCGUCAUAGUCAAAAGUAAAACAGACGGUAUAAGAGAUGUGAUUUGUGAGGCUGCCAAACAGUUCUCGGAGCAGGUUGAGUCCCUUAAGAAGAAUACCGUAGUAACGGACGAUGACCCGUGGGUUAACGACAAAAAUUUCGAAGACGCAUUAAACAAUCUGAAGAAAGACAAGUCUCAGGUGAAUUUCAGAGAAGUCGCCGGGGGCGUGAACACGAGGAACAGUGGCUAUCGCCUCGGCGACUUGAAGCGGACGGCAUACAACAAACUCUCCGCUGUUCGCAACGCCUUCCGCCGCGAAAUCUACCAAAUCCAUCACAGCGCUGACUCCGCCGUGAACGUCCUGCGCGAAGGCACCCGCGCUAUGCAAACCAUCAAACGCGCGCUGGCCGUCGGUCAGAAAUUGGGCUGCUUCGGAGGGACCAUGAGAGAGAAACAAAAUCCUGCGGAAUCAACCCUGUUCGAGGAGGACCUCGGCGUCGUUAUCGGCCCAUCCGAACCUGUGUCCAGUCCGAAUUCAAGAAAUCCUGCGAAAUCAACCCUGUCUGAGGAGGACCUCGGCGUCGUUAUAGGUCCAUCCGAACCUGUGUCCAGUCCGAAUUCAAGAAAUCCUGCGAAAUCAACCCUGUCUGAGGAGGACCUCGGCGUCGUUAUAGGUCCAUCCGAACCUGUGUCCAGUCCGAAUUCAAGUUCGACGGAUGAUGAUUUUCGUAGAGUCAUCCCUGGCCGAAUGGUUUCUUCGAGUCCGCCGACACCUAGCCGUGGUCAGGCUGUCUUCAACCCGUUUAUGUCCAACGGUCACGGUAAAGACCGCAGCAGGGUUGAUUUUCCGAAAGUUUCACAACCCUCGAAUGCAAAAAAACCAGUCCCGAGCGAACCGAAAAAAGAGGAGCCGAGACCUUUUGUCCCCCACCCGUUACAUUUCGAUGGCUAA
Molecule: long non-coding RNA, 1320 nt
Filed under: Bemisia tabaci
Lineage: Eukaryota; Metazoa; Arthropoda; Insecta; Hemiptera; Aleyrodidae
Description: lncRNA ENSSSA1NGG002572
Source: RNAcentral